AUUGAACGCUGGCGGCAGGCUUAACACAUGCAAGUCGAGCGGGGGAAGGUAGCUUGCUACCGGACCUAGCGGCGGACGGGUGAGUAAUGCUUAGGAAUCUGCCUAUUAGUGGGGGACAACAUCUCGAAAGGGAUGCUAAUACCGCAUACGUCCUACGGGAGAAAGCAGGGGAUCUUCGGACCUUGCGCUAAUAGAUGAGCCUAAGUCGGAUUAGCUAGUUGGGGGGGUAAAGGCCUACCAAGGCGACGAUCUGUAGCGGGUCGGAGAGGAUGGUCCGCCACACUGGGACUGAGACACGGCCCAGACUCCUACGGGAGGCAGCAGUGGGGAAUAUUGGACAAUGGGGGGAACCCUGAUCCAGCCAUGCCGCGUGUGUGAAGAAGGCCUUAUGGUUGUAAAGCACUUUAAGCGAGGAGGAGGCUACUCUAGUUAAUACCUAGGGAUAGUGGACGUUACUCGCAGAAUAAGCACCGGCUAACUCUGUGCCAGCAGCCGCAGUAA
RNAcentral lists this ribosomal RNA (501 nucleotides) under uncultured bacterium. Its description in RNAcentral is "partial 16S ribosomal RNA". It matches the Rfam family "Bacterial small subunit ribosomal RNA", at positions 30 to 523 of the family's 1533-position model. The record is from RNAcentral.